CCUACGGGAGGCAGCAGUGAGGAAUAUUGGUCAAUGGACGAGAGUCUGAACCAGCCAAGUAGCGUGAAGGAUGACUGCUCUAUGUGUUGUAAACUUCUUUUAUAUGGGAAUAAAAUGUUCCACGUGUGGGAUUUUGUAUGUACCAUAUGAAUAAGGAUCGGCUAACUCCGUGCCAGCAGCCGCGGUAAUACGGAGGUUCUGAGCGUUAUCCGGAUUUAUUGGGUUUAAAGGGAGCGUAGGUGGAUUGUUAAGUCAGUGGUGAAAGUUUGCGGCUCAACCGUAAAAUUGCAGUUGAAACUGGCAGUCUGGAGUACAGUAGAGGUGAGCGGAAUUCGUGGUGUAGCGGUGAAAUGCUUAGAUAUCACGAAGAACUCCGAUUGCGAAGGCAGUUCACUGGACUGCAACUGACACUGAGGCUCGAAAGUGUGGGUAUCAAACAGGAUUAGAUACCCGAGUAGUC
RNAcentral lists this ribosomal RNA (460 nucleotides) under uncultured bacterium. RNAcentral's name for it is "partial 16S ribosomal RNA". It matches the Rfam family "Bacterial small subunit ribosomal RNA", at positions 338 to 795 of the family's 1533-position model. The record is from RNAcentral.